RNAcentral lists this transfer RNA (74 nucleotides) under Candidatus Similichlamydia laticola. It matches the Rfam family "tRNA". From Rfam's summary of the family: Transfer RNA (tRNA) molecules are approximately 80 nucleotides in length. The record is from Rfam by way of RNAcentral. Lineage: Bacteria; Pseudomonadati; Chlamydiota; Chlamydiia; Parachlamydiales; Candidatus Parilichlamydiaceae.
GCGGGAGUAGUUCAAUUGGUUAGAGCGCUGGCCUGUCACGCCGGAGGUUGCGGGUUCGAGCCCCGUCUCUCGCG